This 465-nucleotide ribosomal RNA is filed under the name Vreelandella stevensii. Its description in RNAcentral is "partial 16S ribosomal RNA". It matches the Rfam family "Bacterial small subunit ribosomal RNA", at positions 338 to 795 of the family's 1533-position model. Lineage: Bacteria; Pseudomonadati; Pseudomonadota; Gammaproteobacteria; Oceanospirillales; Halomonadaceae. The record is from RNAcentral.
CCUACGGGCGGCAGCAGUGGGGAAUAUUGGACAAUGGGCGAAAGCCUGAUCCAGCCAUGCCGCGUGUGUGAAGAAGGCCUUCGGGUUGUAAAGCACUUUCAGUGGGGAAGAAAGCCUUGGGGCUAAUACCCUCGAGGAAGGACAUCACCCACAGAAGAAGCACCGGCUAACUCCGUGCCAGCAGCCGCGGUAAUACGGAGGGUGCGAGCGUUAAUCGGAAUUACUGGGCGUAAAGCGCGCGUAGGCGGUCUGAUAAGCCGGUUGUGAAAGCCCCGGGCUCAACCUGGGAACGGCAUCCGGAACUGUCAGGCUAGAGUGCAGGAGAGGAAGGUAGAAUUCCCGGUGUAGCGGUGAAAUGCGUAGAGAUCGGGAGGAAUACCAGUGGCGAAGGCGGCCUUCUGGACUGACACUGACGCUGAGGUGCGAAAGCGUAGGUAGCAAACAGGAUUAGCUACCCGUGUAGUC